CCAAGCUUUGAGCCAAAUUCCUUGGUACCGGGAAACGGGGGAACCGUUUUGGGUGAAUUGAUCUUGUUUCGGAGGGAUCAUAGGGGAAUACCUUCUACCGAAUCCUUAAGCUAACCUCGUAGGCAAUUGGAAGGGGACAA
This 140-nucleotide small RNA is filed under the name Paenibacillus sp. RNAcentral's name for it is "c-di-AMP sequence". It matches the Rfam family "c-di-AMP riboswitch aptamer (ydaO/yuaA leader)". Rfam says of the family: This family represents a conserved RNA structure found upstream of the ydaO and yuaA genes in Bacillus subtilis and related genes in other bacteria. RNAcentral also lists the same sequence under 1 other name. The record is from RNAcentral. Lineage: Bacteria; Bacillati; Bacillota; Bacilli; Caryophanales; Paenibacillaceae.